AAUCCAUAGGUUAAUGAGGCGAACCGGGGGAACUGAAACAUCUAAGUACCCCGAGGAAAAGAAAUCAACCGAGAUUCCCCCAGUAGCGGCGAGCGAACGGGGAGGAGCCCAGAGCCUGAAUCAGCAUGUGUGUUAGUGGAAGCGUCUGGAAAGGCGCGCGAUACAGGGUGACAGCCCCGUACACAAAAGCGCAUGUGCUGUGAGCUCGAUGAGUAGGGCGGGACACGUGGUAUCCUGUCUGAAUAUGGGGGGACCAUCCUCCAAGGCUAAAUACUCCUGACUGACCGAUAGUGAACCAGUACCGUGAGGGAAAGGCGAAAAGAACCCCGGCGAGGGGAGUGAAAAAGAACCUGAAACCGUGUACGUACAAGCAGUGGGAGCACCCUUUGGGUGUGACUGCGUACCUUUUGUAUAAUGGGUCAGCGACUUAUAUUCUGUAGCAAGGUUAACCGAAUAGGGGAGCCGGAGGGAAACCGAGUCUUAACCGGGCGUUAAGUUGCAGGGUAUAGACCCGAAACCCGGUGAUCUAGCCAUGGGCAGGUUGAAGGUUGGGUAACACUAACUGGAGGACCGAACCGACUAAUGUUGAAAAAUUAGCGGAUGACCUGUGGCUGGGGGUGAAAGGCCAAUCAAACCGGGAGAUAGCUGGUUCUCCCCGAAAGCUAUUUAGGUAGCGCCUCGUGAAUUCAUCUCCGGGGGUAGAGCACUGUUUCGGCUAGGGGGCCAUCCCGGCUUACCAACCCGAUGCAAACUGCGAAUACCGGAGAAUGUUAUCACGGGAGACACACGGCGGGUGCUAACGUCCGUCGUGAAGAGGGAAACAACCCAGACCGCCAGCUAAGGUCCCAAAGUCAUGGUUAAGUGGGAAACGAUGUGGGAAGGCCCAGACAGCCAGGAUGUUGGCUUAGAAGCAGCCAUCAUUUAAAGAAAGCGUAAUAGCUCACUGGUCGAGUCGGCCUGCGCGGAAGAUGUAACGGGGCUAAACCAUGCACCGAAGCUGCGGCAGCGACACUGUGUGUUGUUGGGUAGGGGAGCGUUCUGUAAGCCUGUGAAGGUGUGUCGUGAGGCAUGCUGGAGGUAUCAGAAGUGCGAAUGCUGACAUAAGUAACGAUAAAGCGGGUGAAAAGCCCGCUCGCCGGAAGACCAAGGGUUCCUGUCCAACGUUAAUCGGGGCAGGGUGAGUCGACCCCUAAGGCGAGGCCGAAAGGCGUAGUCGAUGGGAAACGGGUUAAUAUUCCCGUACUUGGUGUUACUGCGAAGGGGGGACGGAGAAGGCUAUGUUGGCCGGGCGACGGUUGUCCCGGUUUAAGCGUGUAGGUGUGUGUUCCAGGUAAAUCCGGUUCACUUUAACACUGAGGCGUGACGACGAGGCACUACGGUGCUGAAGCAACAAAUGCCCUGCUUCCAGGAAAAGCCUCUAAGCAUCAGGUAACAUCAAAUCGUACCCCAAACCGACACAGGUGGUCAGGUAGAGAAUACCAAGGCGCUUGAGAGAACUCGGGUGAAGGAACUAGGCAAAAUGGUGCCGUAACUUCGGGAGAAGGCACGCUGACACGUAGGUGAAGUGAUUUACUCAUGGAGCUGAAGUCAGUCGAAGAUACCAGCUGGCUGCAACUGUUUAUUAAAAACACAGCACUGUGCAAACACGAAAGUGGACGUAUACGGUGUGACGCCUGCCCGGUGCCGGAAGGUUAAUUGAUGGGGUCAGCGCAAGCGAAGCUCCUGAUCGAAGCCCCGGUAAACGGCGGCCGUAACUAUAACGGUCCUAAGGUAGCGAAAUUCCUUGUCGGGUAAGUUCCGACCUGCACGAAUGGCGUAAUGAUGGCCAGGCUGUCUCCACCCGAGACUCAGUGAAAUUGAACUCGCUGUGAAGAUGCAGUGUACCCGCGGCAAGACGGAAAGACCCCGUGAACCUUUACUAUAGCUUGACACUGAACAUUGAGCCUUGAUGUGUAGGAUAGGUGGGAGGCUUUGAAGUGUGGACGCCAGUCUGCAUGGAGCCGACCUUGAAAUACCACCCUUUAAUGUUUGAUGUUCUAACGUGGACCCGUUACCCGGGUUGCGGACAGUGUCUGGUGGGUAGUUUGACUGGGGCGGUCUCCUCCUAAAGAGUAACGGAGGAGCACGAAGGUUGGCUAAUCCUGGUCGGACAUCAGGAGGUUAGUGCAAUGGCAUAAGCCAGCUUGACUGCGAGCGUGACGGCGCGAGCAGGUGCGAAAGCAGGUCAUAGUGAUCCGGUGGUUCUGAAUGGAAGGGCCAUCGCUCAACGGAUAAAAGGUACUCCGGGGAUAACAGGCUGAUACCGCCCAAGAGUUCAUAUCGACGGCGGUGUUUGGCACCUCGAUGUCGGCUCAUCACAUCCUGGGGCUGAAGUAGGUCCCAAGGGUAUGGCUGUUCGCCAUUUAAAGUGGUACGCGAGCUGGGUUUAGAACGUCGUGAGACAGUUCGGUCCCUAUCUGCCGUGGGCGCUGGAGAACUGAGGGGGGCUGCUCCUAGUACGAGAGGACCGGAGUGGACGCAUCACUGGUGUUCGGGUUGUCAUGCCAAUGGCACUGCCCGGUAGCUAAAUGCGGAAGAGAUAAGUGCUGAAAGCAUCUAAGCACGAAACUUGCCCCGAGAUGAGUUCUCCCUGAGACUUAAAGUCUCCUGAAGGAACGUUGAAGACGACG
Molecule: ribosomal RNA, 2669 nt
Filed under: Salmonella enterica subsp. enterica serovar Enteritidis
Lineage: Bacteria; Pseudomonadati; Pseudomonadota; Gammaproteobacteria; Enterobacterales; Enterobacteriaceae
Description: partial 23S ribosomal RNA
Rfam family: Bacterial large subunit ribosomal RNA
Source: RNAcentral